Non-coding RNA from Periconia digitata, 120 nucleotides. NCBI's taxonomy places the organism in Eukaryota, Fungi, Ascomycota, Dothideomycetes, Pleosporales, Periconiaceae. The record is from the annotation of a GenBank genome assembly.
GGUUCGAUGGUGUAGUUGGUUAUCACGUAAGCUUAACAAAAAAGGAGAGCAGCUCUUUGAGAGCUGUAAACUCCCGAAUGUUAUCGCUUAAGGUCUAGAGUUCGAUCCUCUAUCGAAUCA